This 253-nucleotide ribosomal RNA is filed under the name uncultured bacterium. RNAcentral describes it as "partial 16S ribosomal RNA". It matches the Rfam family "Bacterial small subunit ribosomal RNA", at positions 524 to 776 of the family's 1533-position model. The record is from RNAcentral.
UACGAAGGGGGCUAGCGUUGCUCGGAAUCACUGGGCGUAAAGCGCACGUAGGCGGAUUGCUAAGUCAGGGGUGAAAUCCUGGAGCUCAACUCCAGAACUGCCUUCGAUACUGGAAGACUCGAGUCCGGGAGAGGUGAGUGGAACUGCGAGUGUAGAGGUGAAAUUCGUAGAUAUUCGCAAGAACACCAGUGGCGAAGGCGGCUCACUGGCCCGGUACUGACGCUGAGGUGCGAAAGCGUGGGGAGCAAACAGG